This 395-nucleotide ribosomal RNA is filed under the name uncultured bacterium. RNAcentral's name for it is "bacterial SSU rRNA". It matches the Rfam family "Bacterial small subunit ribosomal RNA", at positions 521 to 916 of the family's 1533-position model. The record is from RNAcentral.
UAAUACGUAGGUGGCAAGCGUUGUCCGGAUUUACUGGGCGUAAAGGAUGCGUAGGCGGAUAUUUAAGUCAGAUGUGAAAACCCCGAGCUUAACUUGGGGACUGCAUUUGAAACUGGAUAUCUAGAGUGUGGGAGAGGAGAAUGGAAUUCCUAGUGUAGCGGUGAAAUGCGUAGAGAUUAGGAAGAACACCAGUGGCGAAGGCGAUUCUCUGGACCAUAACUGACGCUGAGGCAUGAAAGCGUGGGUAGCAAACAGGAUUAGAUACCCUGGUAGUCCACGCCGUAAACGAUGAGUACUAGGUGUAGGAGGGUCCAACCUUCUGUGCCGCAGUUAACACAAUAAGUACUCCGCCUGGGAAGUACGAUCGCAAGAUUAAAACUCAAAGGAAUUGACGG